UGAGUGGCGAACGGGUGAGUAACACGUGAGUAACCUGCCCUCUUCUUUGGGAUAACGCCCGGAAACGGGUGCUAAUACUGGAUAUUCACUGGCCUUCGCAUGGGGGUUGGUGGAAAGGUUUGUUCUGGUGGGGGAUGGGCUCGCGGCCUAUCAGCUUGUUGGUGGGGUGAUGGCCUACCAAGGCUUUGACGGGCAGCCGGCCUGAGAGGGUGACCGGUCACAUUGGGACUGAGAUACGGCCCAG
This 244-nucleotide ribosomal RNA is filed under the name uncultured bacterium. Its description in RNAcentral is "partial 16S ribosomal RNA". It matches the Rfam family "Bacterial small subunit ribosomal RNA", at positions 92 to 334 of the family's 1533-position model. The record is from RNAcentral.